Molecule: ribosomal RNA, 406 nt
Filed under: uncultured bacterium
Lineage: Bacteria
Description: partial 16S ribosomal RNA
Rfam family: Bacterial small subunit ribosomal RNA
Source: RNAcentral
AUUGAACGCUGGCGGCAGGCCUAACACAUGCAAGUCGAACGAGAGGCGGACGGGUGAGUAAUGUCUGGGAAACUGCCUGAUGGAGGGGGAUAACUACUGGAAACGGUAGCUAAUACCGCAUACUAUCAGAUGGGCCCAGAUGGGAUUGUCUUGUUGGUGGGGUAACGGCUCACCGAGGCGACGAUCCCUAGCUGGUCUGAGAGGAUGACCAGCCACACUGGGACUGAGACACGGUCCAGACUCCUACGGGAGGCAGCAGUGGGGAAUAUUGCACAUUGGGCGCAAGCCUGAUGCAGCCAUGCCGCGUGUAUGAAUAGUGCCUUCGGUUUGUAAAGUACUUUCAGCGGGGAGGCGUUACCCGCAGAAGAAGCACCGGCUAACUCCGUGCCAGCAGCCGCGGUAAUUC